Molecule: long non-coding RNA, 1934 nt
Filed under: Heterocephalus glaber (naked mole-rat)
Lineage: Eukaryota; Metazoa; Chordata; Mammalia; Rodentia; Bathyergidae
Description: lncRNA (ENSHGLG00000047824.1)
Source: RNAcentral
AAAGUGAUUUCCCAAAGUCAGGCACAAACUGGGCCUGCCUGGAUUUCUAGAAGGAAGAAGCUGUUCCAAGCACAGUGCAAUUCCAGAGCUUCCCAGUGAAGAGGGCAACAGAGCAGAGUCUGGCUUCCUCUUGCUCUUGCAGAGGAAUGUUCCCAGAGCAUGCAGCCUUGUGAUCUGUUCUGGAGUCGGCCAUGUGCACGUCUGAGAGGAACAAAUUGUCUAUGGUCUUAUUAAAGAAUCUUCCCACAAAUUGAAACAUCAUGCACCUCUUGGUGUGGGCCACUGAGAAGACAUCCUUUAUGUAGCAUUUGUCCCCAAUCUGCUUGAUCUAAGCCUGAUCACGGGGAAGAAAUCAGAAUGUGAGAGGCAUCCUACAAACUGCAUUCUUCAGAAACAACACGUGAAAGACAACCAAGACUGAAAAGUGAUUCAAUUUAAAGGAGAUGCACUUGACUUGGCAACUGAAAGCAGCCUGUGACUCUGGACUGAGCACAGGAGCUAGGAGACAUGAUUUCUCUCCUGUGAGAUUGUUGGGCCAAUUGGUGCCAUCUAAACGUGGAUUGUACAUUAGGUCACAGUAUUGUAUCAAUGCUGAAUUUCCUCAAUAUGAUCAUUGCAAUGUGGUCAUAUGAGAGAAUGUUCUUUUCUUAGAGGUAAAGGAUUAAAAUUCUGGCAACUUAACCGGCAAAUGGUCUAACAAAAAUAAGGAUGGUAUUUACAGAUUGAAAGGAAAAAUAGAGAUAAUGCAAAUGUGGAAAAGUAUUAACAAUCUGUGAAUCUGAAGAAUCUGUGGAGCUCAUACAAUUAUACUCACACAUUUUCUAUAAGGUUAAAAUGUUUUUGAAAUAAUCUCUAAAAGGUCUGCUCUAGUGUUAAAUGAGGGGCAUAAAUAUGCAGGGAGGCACAGCCCAAUAAGAAUAGCAGUUAGCAUGUGUGGUGCUUUGCAAUGCAUAUUUAUUAAGUUGUUUAAUUAUCACAGCCCCCUUUACCCGUAGGCAUUAUCACCCCCUAUUUUACAGAGGUGGAAACUCCAGCUCAGAAAAGUGAAGUAUCUUGACUCACCAUGAUUUCACAGCAAGUAAGAGAGAAGUUUGGCUCCGAGAGUCCCUCUUUACUGCCUCAGUGUGAGGCCCAAAGCCGAGGUGCUGGAGUCAGAUUGCCUGGGCUCACACCUGCCUCUGUCCCAGGACUGACCACAUAACCUUGAGAGUUCAGGCUGCCUACAGUAGUGUUAGAAAAUGAAGGUCCUAUGAUUGGACUGUGGUUUGUCAGCUGGGACACUCAUGUUGGAGUGUGGUUACCACGGCAGCUGAGCUAAGAGGCGGAGCCUCAAGGGAGGUGUUUAGGUCAUGGGGGAAGCGCCAUCACAAAGAGAUUAAUGCUUUUUCUCUGACUGACCUUUCACGGGCACAGGACUGGAUUAUUUUGAGAGUAGGCUAUUCUCUUUUCCAGCCACACAUGGCCCUCACCAGAUGUGGUCAUCCAAUUUUGUACUUUACAGCCUUCAUAACCAUGGACCCAAUAAACCUUUUUUUCUUUAUAAAUUACCCAUUCUCAGGUAUUCUAUUACAGUAACAGAAAGUGGACAAGACCAAGUUAUAACUGCACUCACCUUAUAGGGUUUUGCUGGGGUUAAAUCUGAUACAGCAUGUUCAGGGGUCAAAAGAGCAUUUGGUGCAGUAUCUUCUGGAAAUGGGUCUACACAGAUGUUUGUUCUUAAAUCCCACUAGCCAUGUGGGUGAGAGUAGGUAAACAGAAAUAAAGAGUACAGAAAUACAGUCAAGUUUGAGACAGGGAAGUCAUGUGCAACAUCUACAUAUAGUGGGACAGUCAUUUCCCAGGAAGACUAGAAACCACUGCCAUACAUGCUGGAGUGUUUCUAGCCUUUUGCAGUUUCUAGAUCCUUGCCUAAAAUGUGCAGAAAAUUCCAUAGC